GCAUGAAGGUUGGUGAUCUUAUGAAUUCUGCUAUUAUGGGAAAAUCCGAGAGGUUCAUGUAGAGAAUGAGAAGGUUAUCCAAGAGUAUGUUCUAGGUGAAUAUGACCCUGAUGCAACCGAUGCUUACCAUGACAAUCACACCUCCGAGUCUGCCGAUGAGGAUCACGUGAAAGAUACUUCUAAGAGAAAGCACCUGGGAUAUACUAAGCAGAGUGGUGCCUUAACAACUUCUUGUGAUAUAAUGAGAUGUUGAAGCGGCAGACCGAAUCCAUGACACCGAAGUGCAAUUGCGGCAGAUUAUCUCUAUUUUCCAUUUAAUUUUUCUUAUUAUUGGAGUGAGAACGGGUAGAAUGAGGA
Triticum dicoccoides is the source of this 357-nucleotide long non-coding RNA. RefSeq lists it as uncharacterized. The record is from RefSeq and is a predicted model, not a curated record. NCBI's taxonomy places the organism in Eukaryota, Viridiplantae, Streptophyta, Magnoliopsida, Poales, Poaceae. The transcript is spliced from 3 exons.